This is a long non-coding RNA of Grus americana (Whooping crane), 3213 nucleotides long. RefSeq lists it as uncharacterized. The transcript is spliced from 2 exons. Lineage: Eukaryota; Metazoa; Chordata; Aves; Gruiformes; Gruidae. The record is from RefSeq and is a predicted model, not a curated record.
CUUACCAUUAAUUAAGCUAACCCAUUUCAGUCAGCGAUUAAGUUUACACUCGAACACACACACACGCGUCCAGGUUUCAUUAGAUCGGUAUUAAACUGGUUUUUGUUAAACUAGUUUAACGCAAGCACGUGCAAGGCUUGGCUCUACCUGACGACCACCCUGCGCGGGGAGGGCGACGCGCCUCGUCCUGCCACCCCAGCUCUCGGGGAAGAACCUGAACUGCAGCGGGUAAGGCACGGCCACGGGGUUGAUUUUCGGCAGCCGCGUUAACCCCCUCCGCUGCCCUGGGAGAGUCCGCAGGGCUGGAGCCUUCAGGCGCAGCACUGGGAGCUGUACAUCAGCGUGGCUGUUGUCAUUCGUAUCCGGAUCACAUCAAAUACCGAACUUAAAGAGCAAGCGCAAGACUCCAGAUCCUGACCUGGAGAGGUUUCAUCUUUCCACGUUCAAUGUCAGAAACAUCUCUGAUUGCGUAUCACAAUUACUGCCGAUUCCCUUUCCCCUUGCGCUCCCCUGGCUGAAAGCUGUUUCCUUUCCGUGAUGCUGAAGUUGGCUUUUUUUUUUUUUUUUCCACAGUACCAGCAAUUUCAGCUCCCCGGAGGCCGUGCGGCGGCAGUCUCCCGUGCUCACAGCUUGUCAGACAGCUCGGCGUGCCGGCUGACACCCAUGCAGGCUGUUUAACGGUGCAUGAUACGUAUAUAUGUGUAUAUGUAUAACCCACGCACGGUAACGAGCAGCGGUACGUCCCGGGUGCAGGAAGGCAUCCCCAUGCGUUUCCUCCUGCACCUCAACAGCCUGCGCGCAGCUUUGGUUCAGCGGGACAGCUGCCGGCCUGGCCGGAAAGUCCCAGGCUUGGGGCUCAGGCACAUCGUGAAAGCACCAGACAGAUGCCGUCACCUGGCUGUGCCUUCCGUCCUCCUGCCGCUUGCUUCUGCCCGUGGGGAUGGUGAGCUUGCCGGUGCAGACUGCUCCUCCUACGCCUCAGACAGCUGUAGCACCAGCGGAUCAGUGGCACGGACGUACGAAGUACUGCUAACGGGGGAGAAACUUUAAUGGAUGCCAUACACUCAGCGCUUCCUUUUGCCUCUGCAAACCUCCUCCAGAGAUACCAUGCAGAUUGUAUAUACUGGGGUAUCUAUUUUUAGCUCUGACUUGCAUGGGAGUCAGUAUAACCUUAUUCCUUGUUGAGCGAACAGGAUGUCCUGGAUACGGGGCAUUCUGAAGCCAGUGUUUAGAUAACAUCUAUUUAAACAAUGGGGGAUUUAAACAAUGGUAGUAAAAAUUGAUGAAUUCUCUCUGGUGCUGAUUUUGAGGUCAUGGUUAUUGGUGUACAACCUAAUAUUUUUCUGGAGUACGCAAUUGCUGUUAAAAACCUCAUAACAUUUAUUUUAUUUUAGUUUUAGUUUUAUACAGGAACAAGAAGACUACUACCUAAGUGAAAAAGGAGGAGCAUCAGCAGUAUAACUUGCCAGCAGUGGAAUUUAGAGAUCUUUUAAUCCAAACAAAUGAGCUGCUACUGCCUUGGGAGACCCAGAAAGAGGAAAAACAAAUCUGAUAGCCACCACAGAAGUAAAUGCAUUGCAUGGGGUCUGGCUCCUGGAAAGUGGUGGAAAACCACGCAGGAGAGGUGAGUCGCAUCACUGCGACUCGUUCUCAAAUUCACCAUAUUCUUGUUACUAGACGCGACAAGAGGAGCAAAGUACCCCAGACUAGAUAAAACAGUUUGUUUCUUUUCCUCUGUGAUGGGUCGUAAACCGCAAACUACGGCUAAGCUGUGAUAAUGCGGAGGAACUGUACCCGUUGCAAAGCAAACACAGCCCCGGCAGCGUAAUUGCAGCGGGACUGGAAUGGUGGCUAACGAGGAAUGAUGCUGUUUGGUAACUGGAAGCAGUUUUGUGUUUGUGACCACUUCAGUUCUGGUACAGCAGCCAGCAAACGCCCUUGGCUUGUGCAAGCAGACAGAUGGAGUGGCUCUUGAACCGGCUGUGUCCGAGAAAGGUGCGGAUAGUGACGCUGAGCACCUCUGCGAAGUCUCCCCCCCGGCCUAGCCGGUGUUUUGCCCAGAGACCCAGCCUGCGCUCAGGGAGCGGUGAAGCAGCUGGGGGCCCGGGAAAUAAGCCACUGGGCAUCUUUUAUCAGCCGCAGGCUCUACAGCUCUCGUCUUGCCACUGCCUGAGGAGGUGAGAAAGGACUAGCUGGUGAUUUAAACAGCGGUAGUAAAAAUUAAUGGUGUGGAUUCACCCUGGUCCUGAUUUUGAGGUCAUGGUUAUCAGCGUACAGCCUGUUACUGUGCAGCUUGAGGGAGCCUGCACCAGCACCAGCACCGUCUGGCGCGGGUACGAGCGUGUGCUGAGCCGGCAUUUGCACCGGCGGGUCCGUUGUGGCUGCUCGCACGCUUUGUGCCAGCCGGCCCCUGGGCUCGUGCCAGCCGGCCCAUGGGCUCGUCCCGCCGGCUGGGGUGGCAUCUGCAUUUUCUCCAGCCCGUGGGGCCCAGGGCUGGCAGGGAGGCUGCAGCUGUCGCCCUGCCCGCAGGUCGCACAGUGAUCGUCGCCGUGCUGCGAUGCUGGGGGUCACCCCGUGGGCAGCAGCUGCCUGACAGGCACGAAGGGCCGUGCCAGCUCCUGCAGAUGUAGCUGUCUGUCUCCUGAGCGUCGACGUGCAGCUAAUCAAAUCAACCUUGCAUGAAAAGAGAGCGCAGGCUGUCUUGAAAAAUCAGUAUGCCUGUAGCAAGACCUGAAGGCAUGUGGAAAAAGGUGUAAAAAAGCACAGGCUAUUAAAAAUGGAAAGUAUGGGCGAAUGGUUUCAAAGAGUUCAACGGUAUUUUUCAGUAAAACAUCUUGAAGGAUCGGUUUCAUACCAGCACAGCUGUGCUUUGUAAACAUUCUUGGGGUUUGUGGGUGCAGAACAAAGUGUUUGAAGUGACGGGUCACGGGCAAUAAGCAGCAUGAUGAAUGUUUUUGUCCUCUUAUCCGGCUUUGUGAAGAAAUACAGGAAAACAUGAAACGAGGAGUGGGGAAGAAAGAUGCUUUUUGCUUCCUGGUUGUUUUCAGAGAUAGGGCUGUUGUGGAAUGACAUUUCUGAGUAGCAAGGCCAUGGCUUCAGCUGUCCUACAGUUGUCAGAAAACACGCUCUUGGUUGUGGGCCAUGGAAUAUUGUGCUGGUUGAGGUGGUAUAAAAUUGCCUACAGUUUCUUACCUUUACAUCUGCUUUAUUUUU